GAACUGAUGGUUGCCUACAGGUCCUGCACUCUCAUUUAUUUAUAAUAUAUUCAAUUGAUAUUACACAUUGAGUAGGGAUGAAUAACUGAAUGUUUCCCAGUCAUACUGUGUUGCAUUAUUGUGCAUUUUUCUGACUGAAGAGAAAAACCAUCCCACCCCUUGCACAGUGCUUUACUAGAAAAGAAUUUUUUUGUUUCUCCCAUUUGUUGCAUCUAUGGAACAGCUGCUUUGUGCAGAAGUAAAAACACAACGCUAGUUCUAUAGUCCAUGAAAUAUCUGGUUCAUUAAAGUAUAUUUGGUAAAAUUGAGUUAGUUGAUUUUGUUUUAACUAUUUGGUAAAACUGAGUUAGUCGAUUUUGUUUUAACUUGAAGAACACCGAGUAUGCA
This 387-nucleotide unclassified non-coding RNA is filed under the name Hevea brasiliensis (rubber tree). The record is from RNAcentral. Lineage: Eukaryota; Viridiplantae; Streptophyta; Magnoliopsida; Malpighiales; Euphorbiaceae.